AACGAACGCUGGCGGCAUGCCUAACACAUGCAGGUCGAACGAGACCUUCGGGUCUAGUGGCGCACGGGUGCGUAACGCGUGGGAACCUGCCCUUAGGUUCGGAAUAACUCCCCGAAAGGGGUGCUAAUACCGGAUAAUGUCUUCGGACCAAAGAUUUAUCGCCUUUGGAUGGGCCCGCGUUGGAUUAGCUAGUUGGUAGGGUAAAAGCCUACCAAGGCGACGAUCCAUAGCUGGUCUGAGAGGAUGAUCAGCCACACUGGGACUGAGACACGGCCCAGACUCCUACGGGAGGGAGCAGUGGGGAAUAUUGGACAAUGGGCGAAAGCCUGAUCCAGCAAUGCCGCGUGAGUGAUGAAGGCCUUAGGGUUGUAAAGCUCUUUUACCCGGGAUGAUAAUGACAGUACCGGGAGAAUAAGCACCGGCUAACUCCGUG
This 433-nucleotide ribosomal RNA is filed under the name uncultured bacterium. Its description in RNAcentral is "partial 16S ribosomal RNA". It matches the Rfam family "Bacterial small subunit ribosomal RNA", at positions 29 to 507 of the family's 1533-position model. The record is from RNAcentral.